Molecule: ribosomal RNA, 623 nt
Filed under: uncultured bacterium
Lineage: Bacteria
Description: bacterial SSU rRNA
Rfam family: Bacterial small subunit ribosomal RNA (bases 1-527)
Source: RNAcentral
CCUACGGGAGGCAGCAGUGAGGAAUUUUCCACAAUGGGCGAAAGCCUGAUGGAGCAAUACCGCGUGGAGGAAGAAGGACCGUGGUUCGUAAACUCCUUUUCUCAGAGAAGAAGAUCUGACGGUAUCUGAGGAAUAAGCUCCGGCUAACUCUGUGCCAGCAGCCGCGGUAAUACAGAGGGAGCAAGCGUUAUCCGGAAUGAUUGGGCGUAAAGCGUCUGUAGGUGGUUUAGAAAGUCUACUGUCAAAUCCCAAGGCUCAACCUUGGCCAGGCAGUGGAGUACUUCUAGACUUGAGUGUGGUAGAGGUAGAGGGAAUCCCUAGCGUAACAGUGAAAUGUGUAGAUUUUAGGGAGAACACCAGAGGCGAAGGCGCUCUACUGGGCCACGACUGACACUGAGAGACGAAAGCUACGGGAGCGAAUAGGAUUAGAUACCCGUAGUAGUCGUAGNUGUAACGUAUAGAACGUAAGUAGCUCGACCGAAACGACAGUAGCUGUAGUACGUAACGUACGUUAACGUUUACCCGUCCCGUCGGGGUAGGUAGUGCGUCGCGAAGAGUAGAACGUACGAAAGGAAGUUAGACGGCGUGAGACGUGCCGACGGACGACGACGAGGGAGGUUAGG